UUUGUGACGUGUUCGUUUGGGUUGGGCGCCAGCUAAGAGUGUUUGGAGCGCGGAUUAACUGCAAUCUCCUAACAGGUGUGUAUUUCUCAUUACUCUAGCAGUAGGACGGCUAUUUCAGGCCGUGAUGGGCUGAAAUAGGCCAUGUGGUCCUAAUGGGUCCGUAGGCCCAAGUCGAUAAGUUGUAGAAUUACCGAAAUACCCCUAUAAGGUAGAAUUACCA
RNAcentral lists this long non-coding RNA (220 nucleotides) under Gossypium barbadense (sea-island cotton). RNAcentral describes it as "long non-coding RNA (GBAR_LNC011457)". Lineage: Eukaryota; Viridiplantae; Streptophyta; Magnoliopsida; Malvales; Malvaceae. The record is from RNAcentral.